Molecule: ribosomal RNA, 419 nt
Filed under: bacterium
Lineage: Bacteria
Description: partial 16S ribosomal RNA
Rfam family: Bacterial small subunit ribosomal RNA
Source: RNAcentral
UGGGGGAUAUUGCACAAUGGGCGAAAGCCUGAUGCAGCGACGCCGCGUGGGGGAUGAAGGCCUUCGGGUUGUAAACUUCUUUUGCUCUGAACAAGGCGCACCAUGGGGUGUGUUGAGUGUAGGGGUUGAUUAGCGCCGGCUAACUACGUGCCAGCAGCCGCGGUAAUACGUAGGGCGCGAGCGUUGUCCGGAAUUAUUGGGCGUAAAGGGCUUGUAGGUGGCUGGUGGCGUCUGUCGUGAAAGAUCAUGGCUUAACUGUGGGUUUGCGGUGGGUACGGGCUGGCUUGAGUGCGGUAGGGGAGGCUGGAAUUCCUGGUGUAGAGGUGGAAUGCGCAGAUAUCAGGAGGAGUACCGGUGGCGAAGGCGGGUCUCUGGGCUGUUACUGACACUGAGGAGCGAAAGCAUGGGGAGCGAAAAGG